RNAcentral lists this ribosomal RNA (253 nucleotides) under uncultured bacterium. RNAcentral describes it as "partial 16S ribosomal RNA". It matches the Rfam family "Bacterial small subunit ribosomal RNA", at positions 524 to 776 of the family's 1533-position model. The record is from RNAcentral.
UACGUAGGGUGCGAGCGUUAAUCGGAAUUACUGGGCGUAAAGCGUGCGCAGGCGGUUAUAUAAGACAGAGGUGAAAUCCCCGGGCUCAACCUGGGAACUGCCUUUGUGACUGUAUAGCUUGAGUGCGGCAGAGGGGGAUGGAAUUCCGCGUGUAGCAGUGAAAUGCGUAGAUAUGUGGAGGAACACCGAUGGCGAAGGCAGCCCCCUGGGUUAACACUGACGCUCAUGCACGAAAGCGUGGGGAGCAAACAGG